UCAAAACCAUUAAAACGAAAUAUAUUUUGGAUUCUUAAUUCAAAAUAUUGUCUCUGACAUUAUAAGAAUUAAAGAAAACAAAAUCCCACUCAAGAGCAUCCAUCUAUUGCAAGUGGAUUUGCAUUUCCAGCAUUACAAGUUCACCAUCAGAGGAUAUGCAAAUACUACAACCAACAACUGAGAAACAACAACCUGACAAAUCACAAGACUGUAGCACACAGUCUGAGAUUAUUGAGCAGAAAUAUGCACUGAAGAACUUACUUUGGGUAGCUCCUGGACAUUGGAUGGUUGGCUCACCUCUGUGUGGUCCGACACCAGUGAAAACUCUUGCAUGAGAAGUAGAGAGGCUAAGCACUGGACACUAGUCAGCAGUGGAAUUCAGCUAAUCCACAAUAAGAAAGCAGACAAUCUUUCAAGAAAAGUAGCACCCAAUUUGUACGCAAUGUCCCGAAGAAGCACUAGCGUACGGUGGGAUUAGUUAUGCUGAGGUCCUACCUCACUCGAGCAUGCAGGCUAGGCACGUUAUUUCCAAAUUUCUGAAAGCUCUGAUGUUAUCUGUGAAUAUUUCAUUUAUCAAAAUGUUUUGCCAAACUGUUCGUAAAUAGUCAAAUCAAAACUUAUGCCAGGAUUCUUGAUUCUUUAAAUGAAUUCAUAAAAAACCUCUUAUUUGUUUGUAAAUAGUGCCAGUGAUCUUAUCCCUAUUUGCUGUUGACUUCUUGUUGCUUGUCUUUUGUAUCUUUUAGCUUGUUUCUUUUAGCAUGCGUGUGGUCUAUGAUUUUACGUGAUUUGACCUUUUGUCUGAUGUUUCUUGUUUUCUAAACUUAAUUUUUGGACAAAUGCUGAGCUUCUAACAAUUUAGUAUUUUCUAGCUUCAAAUUUUCCCUCGAAUGAUUUUUAUUUUUACUUUUUAAAUGCUGAUAUAACCAAGUGAUAAGUUGAGUAAUGUGUUAGCUACCAAUUUGACAGUCGUCAAAGUCCAGGCCUCCAUGCUUGCGUUUCAUCUAAUACAUAGAUGCUAUCAUCAAGCAUAAUUAUGACCGUAUAGAUUAGCUUCAAUCUUAGAUCUUAUUUCGUUCGAUAUAUUCAUCUACAAUAAUCAUCUUCGGCUUCCAUCUCGGUAGGUAUAUUAUUCUAUAUUUUUUUGUAAAAUAUAUUCACUCAUUCCUUUUCUUUUCUUUUUUUUUUGUUCUUCCCCGUCGAUCACUACGAGCAGGCAGUUGUUAUGCUAAACGACGAGGUAAACUUUUAAAAAAAAGCAUCAUAAGGGACUCAUUGGUAGUGGAUGAGGAUAAAAAUGAUUGGGCGAUGUAUUUUUAAAACAAAGUAGCACGGUGUUAUGGGUAUCCAUCAUCUACCAUUAUAAGGACAUAUAGUGACAUAUUACAGCGAUGGGACACCUCCUUUCGAAGCCAGGGCUUGGAUAAUUUGUACUGUAUGUCACUAGGAAUAGGAUAAACUAUCAUAAACCUCAAGAUAAUUUGUACUGUAUCUGGGCCCGGGGAUAUCAAACUGCCUAUUUAUGUGCCUGCCUUUUCUAUUUGGCCUUCAAAAUAGUUUUCUUGGUACUCAAUCAUAGGUUCUUUUGAGACCAGUCAAAUCUAUGCACAAUUUCUUCUUGCUGGAAAUGAAGUUGUGCAUUAUGUAUAAAGGAAAAUCAUUUCAAAGUGAGAUUGGUAUAUUGAAAUUGGCAUUCCAGGCAUAGAGCAAAUUCGGUGUUUUGAAUACUUUGUUGCUUUUCUUCUGUUAAUCAAAAGUUUGAUUUGUGUAAUUCAUGAUGCUUUACUGAGCAAAGAUUAGUCCUAUGCCCCUCAAGACUUCUCCAUAUAUAUUGCUUAUGCUAGAAACUCCUAAAUGCCUAUCACCUAAUGAAUGAGACUUGGAACACUAUGCUCCUAUUUGCGACCUCUCACAACAACUUUAUUAUCUUUCUUUUUUUUCGCUUGUUCUUCCUAGCCUAUGGUUAUUUUCUUACUUUUUCCUUGUCAUAAAGCUUAAAAUGAUGUUCUUAACGAAGACUAGAACACUUUAUGCCUUCUGAAGUCUUUCUAGUGUCUACCAUGUAUAGAAUUAUUGUGCCUUCUAAAGUCUAUUAUUUUGCCAGUGAGAGGGCAUGGUCUCCCCUGCUUUCCCUCAUUGAUAGUCUGCUUGGCCUCUGCUUUUCAAUACUAAAUUUCCAAACGGAUGCACAUUUAACCUUUGGGCCGCCAGAGAACCCCUUUAGCUAAUGCAUUCAACCAUUUGCUUAUAAAUUAGAUUGGAUGAUGCUGCACUCCUCCAUGUUUGAAGCACUGCAAUAUGAUGCAUACUUACCAUGCGGGACGUACUACGUGAGAUUCCACCCAUGGGCGAGUCGAUCCAUGUUUAUGCAUAAGCUUGCUUCAACAUGUGCAAUUGUGCUUGCAUGCGAUACGGGAUCGAACUAGGGUUUUGAGUGUAUUCAUGGUAAACAGCCACUUGAUAAACCGCUAUGAAAUUAUGGAUGUGCCCUUUUAUCACAAGUCACUUUUGCCUCAUUACCCAAAUGAAAUUUCCUUAUUGGUUAUUAUAUGACACCGAUAUCAAUAUCUCAUAAUCUGAUUAUUAUUAACUAGACCGUGCCAAUUAUUUGACUUUAAUUAUCACUUAGUUCAGUUCAUUUUUUUUCUACUUCCAAGCUCAUCGUUUAAACUAGACAUUAGGUCAAAAUACUUUUGAUCGAAGCAUGUAAUUCCUCCUAAAUGUACCUCUGCUUUUUCUUUUUUUUGAUUGAAUGGGAGGCUGUGCUGCCCUUUGUUUUAUUAAAUAAGAAUUAUGUUACGCAUUGGAGAGCUUUGUCAACGAUAUGCUGCUGGCCGAACCCAUAGACAUUGAGAGAUAAUGUAAGGGUCUAGGUGAGGAUUCGAAAAGGACUAAUCCCCCGACCCUUAACAAAAAACAACUGAAGACACGAGUUUGUGGGUUUAUAGACUUCAACCAUCUUAUUCUUCUUGAGUAACGUGUGCUUUAUUGUUUUUCUCUUUUGCAUGUCAUGAAAGUCGUGCACGUAGGCUUUCCUCUGCUGCUGCUGUAACAAUAUUGGAAAUCUCGACGAUCGUUUCUUUUGCUGCGCCAUUGUAAAAGGACAUCCAAUCUAUUUCAUUUGCUUGGUCAGGUUUGGGCUGGCCAUCUCUCUGGAAACCGGCUCCUUGUUGCUUUAUGGAACCGUUGUCCUGAAGCCGUCACAAUUAUAGCUAAAUGGGAAACACUUGGCCUUGAUUCAACCUGUAGAGACCCACGUUUGAGUUGGGCCGGCCUCUGAGCAAGGACGGCCCAACUCGUGAAAAUGGGGGAGGGAGUCUCCCGAUCGUAACGCUCUCCCUCCCCUGUUUUCGGAAAGUUUUCCCCCUCCUCCCGAAUCCACCGGGAAGGAGGAUCUUAGGGUGAUAAAAACCCUAGCAAUCGGGCCGAGACCUCCUCCUCUCCCUAGGACAUCAGCCGAGAGGCUUCCACACACACAAAAAAAAAAACAGAGAAAGAGAUUGGGUUUCUACCUUGCGGCGGGGAGGAUCGGAGCUUUCGCCGUCGAGCCGGUCGGAAGGAGCUCGCCGGAGGCAGGGUGAGCAUCUUCUCCUUCUUCUCCUUCGUCUUUGGCCAUUACCUCCUUGGGAAUGUAGCCGGGAAGUCGCCGGAUUGAAGGAGAAGCCGAGCCCUAUUCGGCCUUCUCCUCUCUCGUUCCGGCCGGCCGUCGCCGGGCGUGGCAUCGCCGGCACCGCCACAGGCCGACGACCAUGGGGCGUCGCCGGCCGUGGGCCACCGGUGGCCGAACCCCCUUCUCCCCUUUCCGUCGGGAAGAAGGAAGAAG
This 3820-nucleotide long non-coding RNA is filed under the name Phoenix dactylifera (date palm). Its description in RNAcentral is "long non-coding RNA (PDAC_LNC000772)". The record is from RNAcentral. Lineage: Eukaryota; Viridiplantae; Streptophyta; Magnoliopsida; Arecales; Arecaceae.